UUUUGCCAAUGUUUUGUUCGGGAAAACAAUGACAAUACGAAUAGUUUGCUUUGUUAUGCUGAAUCAAAUAUUUUUAACUCAAUCUGAUCUGUGUCCAGGAGAAAAUGGGGAAAAAUGUUGUAUUGGAUUCAAAUGGAAUGAUGCACUUAGAAAUUGUAUACCGUGUGAUGAGGGAUAUCAUGGAACUAACUGUAGAACAAAGUGCCACUUUCCUUGGUAUGGAGUAAACUGUAUGUCACAAUGUAGCUGUUCUGAGACCGACUGUAAUCAUGUUCUUGGCUGUGUAGUGUCUAAAGAAGUUGGGUCCUUGCGAUUGUGU
This is a long non-coding RNA of Magallana angulata, 319 nucleotides long. RefSeq lists it as uncharacterized. The record is from RefSeq and is a predicted model, not a curated record. Lineage: Eukaryota; Metazoa; Mollusca; Bivalvia; Ostreida; Ostreidae. The transcript has 4 exons.